UUUCCGUAGGUGAACCUGCGGAAGGAUCAUUAAUGAGUCGUCAUGGGGUUCGAUGCUGGCUGCCAGUUUUUGGAUGCAUGUGCUUGCCCUAACAAUCAUCUUCUUCCAAACACCUGUGCACAUUUUUGAGGGAGUCUUGAGUUGGUUGCCGCUCUUGGGUGAUUUUCUCACAUUCCCUUAAAUCAUUAUACGCUAUUAACAAUGUUGAACGUGCUCUGUGCCGCAAGGCCAUUAAUAUAAUACAACUUUUAACAACGGAUCUCUUGGCUCUC
Molecule: unclassified non-coding RNA, 272 nt
Filed under: plant metagenome
Description: partial contains small subunit ribosomal RNA, internal transcribed spacer 1, and 5.8S ribosomal RNA
Source: RNAcentral